This 450-nucleotide ribosomal RNA is filed under the name uncultured bacterium. Its description in RNAcentral is "bacterial SSU rRNA". It matches the Rfam family "Bacterial small subunit ribosomal RNA", at positions 29 to 524 of the family's 1533-position model. The record is from RNAcentral.
AACGAACGCUGGCGGCAUGCCUAACACAUGCAAGUCGAACGAGACCUUCGGGUCUAGUGGCGCACGGGUGCGUAACGCGUGGGAAUCUGCCCUCUGGUACGGAAUAACUCAGGGAAACUUGAGCUAAUACCGUAUAAUGACUUCGGUCCAAAGAUUUAUCGCCUGAGGAUGAGCCCGCGUAGGAUUAGCUUGUUGGUGAGGUAAAAGCUCACCAAGGCGACGAUCCUUAGCUGGUCUGAGAGGAUGAUCAGCCACACUGGGACUGAGACACGGCCCAGACUCCUACGGGAGGCAGCAGUGGGGAAUAUUGGACAAUGGGCGAAAGCCUGAUCCAGCAAUGCCGCGUGAGUGAUGAAGGCCUUAGGGUUGUAAAGCUCUUUUACCCGGGAUGAUAAUGACAGUACCGGGAGAAUAAGCCCCGGCUAACUCCGUGCCAGCCGCCGCGGUAAU